AAGUCGUAACAAGGUUUCCGUAGGUGAACCUGCGGAAGGAUCAUUACCCAUUUUGGCCGUAACAAGCCUUAACCCCUUAUUUAUGCGUACCUCCACAUUCUCCUUCGGCGGGGUAACGCCCGCCGUCGGAACAACCAAACCCUUUUUGCAUCUAGCAUGUUACCGGUUCUGACAAAAAACAAUCGUUACAACUUUCAACAAUGGAUCUCUUGGCUCUG
This 218-nucleotide unclassified non-coding RNA is filed under the name air metagenome. RNAcentral describes it as "partial contains small subunit ribosomal RNA, internal transcribed spacer 1, and 5.8S ribosomal RNA". The stretch from base 1 to 46 matches the Rfam family "Eukaryotic small subunit ribosomal RNA", at positions 1786 to 1831 of the family's 1831-position model. The record is from RNAcentral.